This 478-nucleotide ribosomal RNA is filed under the name Escherichia coli. Its description in RNAcentral is "partial 23S ribosomal RNA". It matches the Rfam family "Bacterial large subunit ribosomal RNA", at positions 1292 to 1770 of the family's 2925-position model. Lineage: Bacteria; Pseudomonadati; Pseudomonadota; Gammaproteobacteria; Enterobacterales; Enterobacteriaceae. The record is from RNAcentral.
GAAUGCUGACAUAAGUAACGAUAAAGCGGGUGAAAAGCCCGCUCGCCGGAAGACCAAGGGUUCCUGUCCAACGUUAAUCGGGGCAGGGUGAGUCGACCCCUAAGGCGAGGCCGAAAGGCGUAGUCGAUGGGAAACAGGUUAAUAUUCCUGUACUUGGUGUUACUGCGAAGGGGGGACGGAGAAGGCUAUGUUGGCCGGGCGACGGUUGUCCCGGUUUAAGCGUGUAGGCUGGUUUUCCAGGCAAAUCCGGAAAACCAAGGCUGAGGCGUGAUGACGAGGCACUACGGUGCUGAAGCGACAAAUGCCCUGCUUCCAGGAAAAGCCUCUAAGCAUCAGGUAACAUCAAAUCGUACCCCAAACCGACACAGGUGGUCAGGUAGAGAAUACCAAGGCGCUUGAGAGAACUCGGGUGAAGGAACUAGGCAAAAUGGUGCCGUAACUUCGGGAGAAGGCACGCUGAUAUGUAGGUGAAGCGACU